GACGAACGCUGGCGGCGUGCUUAACACAUGCAAGUCGAACGGAAAGGCCUGCUUUCCCUUGUGGAUUGCGGGUACUCGAGUGGCGAACGGGUGAGUAACACGUGAGUGAUCUGCCCCCAACUUGGGUAUAAGCCUGGGAAACUGGGUCUAAUUCCCGAUAGGACUGCAGGGUGGUGCCUGUGGUGGAAAACGAUUUUCUAGUGGUUGGGGAUGAGCUCGCGGCCUAUCAGCUUGUUGGUGGGGUAAUGGCCUACCAAGGCGGCGACGGGUAGCCGGCCUGAGAGGGUGGACGGCCACAUUGGGACUGAGAUACGGCCUAGACUCCUACGGGAGGCAGCAGUGGGGAAUAUUGCACAAUGGGCGGAAGCCUGAUGCAGCGACGCCGCGUGGGGGAUGACGGCCUUCGGGUUGCAAACUCCUUUCGACCGCGAGGAAGCCACCUGGUUGGAAGGGUGGUGACGGUAGUGGUAGAAGAAGCACCGGCUAACUACGU
Molecule: ribosomal RNA, 493 nt
Filed under: uncultured bacterium
Lineage: Bacteria
Description: partial 16S ribosomal RNA
Rfam family: Bacterial small subunit ribosomal RNA
Source: RNAcentral